This 253-nucleotide ribosomal RNA is filed under the name uncultured bacterium. RNAcentral's name for it is "partial 16S ribosomal RNA". It matches the Rfam family "Bacterial small subunit ribosomal RNA", at positions 524 to 776 of the family's 1533-position model. The record is from RNAcentral.
UACGGAGGGAGCAAGCGUUACUCGGAAUUAUUGGGCGUAAAGGGCGCGUAGGCGAUUUGAAAAGUCUUGUGUGAAAGCCCCGAGCUUAACUCGGGAAGUGCACAAGAAACUGUUGAAUUUGAGUUCCGGAGAGGAAGGCAGAAUUCCCGGUGUAGCGGUGAAAUGCGUAGAUAUCGGGAGGAAUACCAGUGGCGAAGGCGGCCUUCUGGACGGAUACUGACGCUGAGGCGCGAAAGCGUGGGGAGCGAACAGG